CUUAUCCGUACACGCUGUCGGUCAAUGGGACGACGUAUAGCUUACCAGCGAUAGAAGUUUAUAUGGAAAUUGCAAUUCACGCGUCCCAAUAUAAGGCGAUAAGAAUGACUUAUCGGGUAUAUUGGGACAGCUUCAGAUUAUUGACAGCUAAUUACUGACAGUAGAAGGUACUAAUUUAUCUCUAUCUGUAGAUAGUAUAUUGAGAACGGCCGUUAAUGAAUUUUAAACUACGAUAGUGAUAACAAAAUAUUCUAUUCAAAUUCAGUGGCGUAGCGUGCCUUGGCGGGGCCCCGUAUAGAAAUUAGCUUAGGGGCCCUUAUGAAGGGUAAAGAUUUCUCACAAAGGAAAAAAAAAGUUUGCAUAAAAUUAAAAGAAAUAUUUAUUCAUCAUAAUUAUCUAAAGCUGAUGAUGACUUUAGUUUUUUUUUUUAUUUUUUUUUUUGACUUUUGUCAUUUCUGAAAUAAUAAAAAAUUUGGGAAGUUUUUAUUUAUUUUUUCCUACGCGCGUCGGAGGCCGCCGUGGUCCGGGGUAUAUAAAAAUACAUUUAUUUUCUCAAAAUUGAUUCCUCUAGAAUUUUUUUUGAUGUCAUUUCUAAUAUAUUAGAUACUACUACCGCUUCAGAAACAAAUGGCGCUCUGAGAGAGAAGAAGCGGCGCAAGAAAUUCCCAGCAAUUUUUUUUGCGCUCUUUUUAAUCAAAUAUACAAUAUUGUAUUGUCUAUUUGGUUAAAAAGAAAAUCUUUCAAUAGCAAUUAUUGCUAUAAAAUAAUCAUAAUCUAGUCCCAGGCUGUCGGAUCACUUAGAUAUUCAGCUGUGGAGUAGUACGAUUUACGACAGAGCCAUUUUUUUUAUAAAACAUUUAAAUUUAUUUACCCAUAGAUAAUGCCCGAACUGUGGGACUUUAUUAUCAAAGUGUAUACAUUUACCCUUAAAGCUAUUAUGUAUCUUGUGAAGCCUACUAGAAUUAUUUACAAUCAAUCCCUUAUUUCUAGUGUUAUAAUAAUGAAAAUCACUAUUAAGAGCGAAAAGGUGACGAUUUUUGUGAACGUAUAUUAAAUUUUCAUAAAUGUAUUGACAAUGACGUACCUACAUAUAAUUGAUAGGGCAGAUACGGCGGUAGCUACGCCCCUGUUCAAGUUGCUCACAAGUAAAGGAAAGAGAGUCACUUAUGGCUUAAAAUUGCAUGCUCUAUGGGUCACUUUGCCGUGCAUUAGUUUGUAGGUUUCGCUUAACAUAUUAGGUGCUAAUCAAUGUAUACAUUAUAUAUGUGCACUUAUUCUUUUUAUACUACGUUUUAAAAUGCAGAUGACAUUGACAAUAUCAGCUGUUCCAUUUACGAGUACUAUAUUAUAUAUACUUACUGUAAAGCUGAUAUUUCUUAGCAGCGUUAUCUUACGAAUAUUCUUUUAGGUGAGAAUUUAUCAAUAUAUAAACAAUGAUAUUAUAGUAUUAAAAGAGGUAGAUAUAUCACUAGCGCGCCGAAAAUCAAUCGCCUAAAUUGAGUCAAUUGGUUCCUUUGGUCGUAGUCGCUCCCUCGAUACGAAAACGGUACAUACGCGUUUGUUGUUGACAGAAUUGCUUACAAUUUGAUAUAGGUACAACAUUAAAAUGCCGUCUUGUGUUAUGGGAAGAUAGAAUUAUAUAAUUACACAUGAAAUCAUGAAUGAUAACAUUUUAUUUGAUUUCAUUAUUUAUGUAACAAAAUAAAUAUGUCGCCGUGACAACGCCGAUCGCCGCAAAGCCGAUCAUAGAUUAAAGUACAGAAAUGACAAAAUAUUGAUGCUGUCUGUUGCGGGAUGAUCGAAUAUUUAAGGAAAUUAUGUAAAAAAGUCGUUGCAGUGAAUUUAAUACGAAAUGUAAUAAUUUUUAAUAAACAAGUGCGUAUAUAGGUAGCUGAACUAUCAAACUACUAUCUACUUUUGAAUAUCAUUGUCUAUAAAUAGAUAAUUUUAGACAUUAUAAAUAUAUAGAACGUUAAUUUUAAUGAUUUGUAAUUCGUUUGUACAGUUGCACCAAGAUUUAUUUCAUAUUAGUGAAAAAUAUGUUUAUGUAUAAUAUUUUAGAUUGUUAUAGUUAAUAUAAUUUGCUUUAUUCGAGAAUAAAUUGAAGAACUAAUUUAAUUGAA
Molecule: long non-coding RNA, 2123 nt
Organism: Leptidea sinapis
Lineage: Eukaryota; Metazoa; Arthropoda; Insecta; Lepidoptera; Pieridae
Exons: 2
Source: RefSeq, a predicted model, not a curated record